RNAcentral lists this ribosomal RNA (497 nucleotides) under uncultured bacterium. Its description in RNAcentral is "partial 16S ribosomal RNA". It matches the Rfam family "Bacterial small subunit ribosomal RNA", at positions 28 to 507 of the family's 1533-position model. The record is from RNAcentral.
GAUGAACGCUGGCGGCGUGCCUAAUACAUGCAAGUCGAGCGAACGGACGAGAAGCUUGCUUCUCUGAUGUUAGCGGCGGACGGGUGAGUAACACGUGGAUAACCUACCUAUAAGACUGGGAUAACUUCGGGAAACCGUAGCUAAUACCGGAUAAUAUUUUGAACCGCAUGGUUCAAAAGUGAAAGACGGUCUUUCUGUCACUUAUAGAUGGAUCCGCGCUGCAUUAGCUAGUUGGUAAGGUAACGGCUUACCAAGGCAACGAUGCAUAGCCGACCUGAGAGGGUGAUCGGCCACACUGGAACUGAGACACGGUCCAGACUCCUACGGGAGGCAGCAGUAGGGAAUCCUCCGCAAUGGGCGAAAGCCUGACGGAGCAACGCCGCGUGAGUGAUGAAGGUCUUCGGAUCGUAAAACUCUGUUAUUAGGGAAGAACAUAUGUGUAAGUAACUGUGCUCAUCUUGACGGUACCUAAUCAGAAAGCCACGGCUAACUACGUG